AUUGAACGCUGGCGGCAUGCCUUACACAUGCAAGUCGAACGGCAGCAUGAUCUAGCUUGCUAGAUUGAUGGCGAGUGGCGCACGGGUGAGUAAUACAUCGGAACGUGCCCUGUAGUGGGGGAUAACUAGUCGAAAGAUUAGCUAAUACCGCAUACGACCUGAGGGUGAAAGUGGGGGACCGCAAGGCCUCAUGCUAUAUGAUCGGCCGAUGUCUGAUUAGCUAGUUUGUUAGGUAAAGGCUCACCAAGGCGACGAUCAGUAGCUGGUCUGAGAGGACGAUCAGCCACACUGGGACUGAGACACGGCCCAGACUCCUACGGGAGGCAGCAGUGGGGAAUUUUGGACAAUGGGCGAAAGCCUGAUCCAGCAAUGCCGCGUGUGUGAAGAAGGCCUUCGGGUUGUAAAGCACUUUUGUCCGGAAAGAAAUGGCUCUGGUUAAUACCUGGGGUCGAUGACGGUACCGGAAGAAUAAGGACCGGCUAACUACGUG
This 490-nucleotide ribosomal RNA is filed under the name uncultured bacterium. Its description in RNAcentral is "partial 16S ribosomal RNA". It matches the Rfam family "Bacterial small subunit ribosomal RNA", at positions 30 to 507 of the family's 1533-position model. The record is from RNAcentral.